GAUGAACGCUGGCGGCGUGCCUAAUACAUGCAAGUCGAGCGAACGGACGAGAAGCUUGCUUUUCUGAUGUUAGCGGCGGACGGGUGAGUAACACGUGGAUAACCUACCUAUAAGACUGGGAUAACUUCGGGAAACCGGAGCUAAUACCGGAUAAUAUUUUGAACCGCAUGGUUCAAAAGUGAAAGACGGUCUUGCUGUCACUUAUAGAUGGAUCCGCGCUGCAUUAGCUAGUUGGUAAGGUAACGGCUUACCAAGGCAACGAUGCAUAGCCGACCUGAGAGGGUGAUCGGCCACACUGGAACUGAGACACGGUCCAGACUCCUACGGGAGGCAGCAGUAGGGAAUCUUCCGCAAUGGGCGAAAGCCUGACGGAGCAACGCCGCGUGAGUGAUGAAGGUCUUCGGAUCGUAAAACUCUGUUAUUAGGGAAGAACAUAUGUGUAAGUAACUGUGCACAUCUUGACGGUACCUAAUCAGAAAGCCACGGCUAACUACGUGCCAGCAGCCGCGGUAAUACGUAGGUGGCAAGCGUUAUCCGGAAUUAUUGGGCGUAAAGCGCGCGUAGGCGGUUUUUUAAGUCUGAUGUGAAAGCCCACGGCUCAACCGUGGAGGGUCAUUGGAAACUGGAAAACUUGAGUGCAGAAGAGGAAAGUGGAAUUCCAUGUGUAGCGGUGAAAUGCGCAGAGAUAUGGAGGAACACCAGUGGCGAAGGCGACUUUCUGGUCUGUAACUGACGCUGAUGUGCGAAAGCGUGGGGAUCAAACAGGAUUAGAUACCCUGGUAGUCCACGCCGUAAACGAUGAGUGCUAAGUGUUAGGGGGUUUCCGCCCCUUAGUGCUGCAGCUAACGCAUUAAGCACUCCGCCUGGGGAGUACGACCGCAAGGUUGAAACUCAAAGGAAUUGACGGGGACCCGCACAAGCGGUGGAGCAUGUGGUUUAAUUCGAAGCAACGCGAAGAACCUUACCAAAUCUUGACAUCCUUUGACAACUCUAGAGAUAGAGCCUUCCCCUUCGGGGGACAAAGUGACAGGUGGUGCAUGGUUGUCGUCAGCUCGUGUCGUGAGAUGUUGGGUUAAGUCCCGCAACGAGCGCAACCCUUAAGCUUAGUUGCCAUCAUUAAGUUGGGCACUCUAAGUUGACUGCCGGUGACAAACCGGAGGAAGGUGGGGAUGACGUCAAAUCAUCAUGCCCCUUAUGAUUUGGGCCACACACGUGCUACAAUGGACAAUACAAAGGGCAGCGAAACCGCGAGGUCAAGCAAAUCCCAUAAAGUUGUUCUCAGUUCGGAUUGUAGUCUGCAACUCGACUACAUGAAGCUGGAAUCGCUAGUAAUCGUAGAUCAGCAUGCUACGGUGAAUACGUUCCCGGGUCU
This 1372-nucleotide ribosomal RNA is filed under the name uncultured bacterium. RNAcentral describes it as "bacterial SSU rRNA". It matches the Rfam family "Bacterial small subunit ribosomal RNA", at positions 28 to 1381 of the family's 1533-position model. The record is from RNAcentral.